RNAcentral lists this ribosomal RNA (164 nucleotides) under Sophora alopecuroides. Its description in RNAcentral is "partial 28S ribosomal RNA". It matches the Rfam family "Eukaryotic large subunit ribosomal RNA", at positions 1 to 164 of the family's 3401-position model. The record is from RNAcentral. Lineage: Eukaryota; Viridiplantae; Streptophyta; Magnoliopsida; Fabales; Fabaceae.
GGACCUCAGGUCAGGCGGGGCUACCCGCUGAGUUUAAGCAUAUCAAUAAGCGGAGGAAAAGAAACUAACAAGGAUUCCCUUAGUAACGGCGAGCGAACCGGGAAGAGCCCACCAUGAGAAUCGGUCGCCCUCGGCGUCUGAAUUGUAGUCUGAAGAAGCGUCAA